RNAcentral lists this ribosomal RNA (441 nucleotides) under Escherichia coli. Its description in RNAcentral is "partial 23S ribosomal RNA". It matches the Rfam family "Bacterial large subunit ribosomal RNA", at positions 2200 to 2640 of the family's 2925-position model. Lineage: Bacteria; Pseudomonadati; Pseudomonadota; Gammaproteobacteria; Enterobacterales; Enterobacteriaceae. The record is from RNAcentral.
CCACCCUUUAAUGUUUGAUGUUCUAACGUUGACCCGUAAUCCGGGUUGCGGACAGUGUCUGGUGGGUAGUUUGACUGGGGCGGUCUCCUCCUAAAGAGUAACGGAGGAGCACGAAGGUUGGCUAAUCCUGGUCGGACAUCAGGAGGUUAGUGCAAUGGCAUAAGCCAGCUUGACUGCGAGCGUGACGGCGCGAGCAGGUGCGAAAGCAGGUCAUAGUGAUCCGGUGGUUCUGAAUGGAAGGGCCAUCGCUCAACGGAUAAAAGGUACUCCGGGGAUAACAGGCUGAUACCGCCCAAGAGUUCAUAUCGACGGCGGUGUUUGGCACCUCGAUGUCGGCUCAUCACAUCCUGGGGCUGAAGUAGGUCCCAAGGGUAUGGCUGUUCGCCAUUUAAAGUGGUACGCGAGCUGGGUUUAGAACGUCGUGAGACAGUUCGGUCCCUA